GUCCACGCCCUAAACGAUGCAUAUUUGGUGUGGGUCAUUCAGUUGAUCCGUGCCGGAGCUAACGCGUUAAAUAUGCCGCCUGGGGAGUACAGUCGCAAGGCUGAAACUCAAAGGAAUUGACGGGGGCCCGCACAAGCGGUGGAGCAUGUGGUUCAAUUCGACGCAACGCGAAGAACCUUACCUGGGGCUCGAACGGCUUCUCAACGCCGGUUAGAAAUACCGGUAUCCCGCAAGGGAGUGGAGUCGAGGUGCUGCAUGGCUGUCGU
Molecule: ribosomal RNA, 266 nt
Filed under: uncultured bacterium
Lineage: Bacteria
Description: partial 16S ribosomal RNA
Rfam family: Bacterial small subunit ribosomal RNA
Source: RNAcentral